This 588-nucleotide ribosomal RNA is filed under the name uncultured bacterium. RNAcentral's name for it is "partial 16S ribosomal RNA". It matches the Rfam family "Bacterial small subunit ribosomal RNA", at positions 355 to 1375 of the family's 1533-position model. The record is from RNAcentral.
UGGGGAAUUUUGGACAAUGGGCGAAAGCCUGAUCCAGCAAUGCCGCGUGUGUGAAGAAGGCCUUCGGGUUGUAAAGCACUUUUGUCCGGAAAGAAAUCCUUGGCUCUAAUACAGUCGGGGGGAUGACGGUACCGGAAGAAUAAGCACCGGCUAACUACGUGCCAGCAGCCGCGGUAAUACGUAGGGUGCAAGCGUUAAUCGGAAUUACUGGGCGUAAAGCGUGCGCAGGCGGUUUGCUAAGACCGAUGUGAAAUCCCCGGGCUCAACCUGGGAACUGCAUUGGUGACUGGCAGGCUAGAGUAUGGCAGAGGGGGGUAGAAUUCCACGUGUAGCAGUGAAAUGCGUAGAGAUGUGGAGGAAUACCGAUGGCGAAGGCAGCCCCCUGGGCCAAUACUGACGCUCAUGCACGAAAGCGUGGGGAGCAAACAGGAUUAGAUACCCUGGUAGUCCACGCCCUAAAACGAUGUCAACUAGUUGUUGGGGGAUUCAUUUCCUUAGUAACGUAGCUAACGCGUGAAGUUGACCGCCUGGGGAGUACGGUCGCAAGAUUAAAACUCAAAUGAAUUGACGGGGUCAUAGCUGUUUCCU